RNAcentral lists this long non-coding RNA (269 nucleotides) under Homo sapiens (human). RNAcentral's name for it is "PREDICTED lncRNA (TCONS_00162192)". Lineage: Eukaryota; Metazoa; Chordata; Mammalia; Primates; Hominidae. The record is from RNAcentral.
GAGCACUUAACUUGCCGGAGCCAAGAAAUCGCUGGUACUUGAUGGCUGUUUCAGAGAAGGAAACAACAUUCCUCUGAUGCUAACUGGUGCUUCUGAGAGCAAAAUGUCAGGGAGGAGAGAAGCAUGGCCUCUCGAGACAAACCCAGGCUGCUAAGAAUGUAAGCUCUGGUCUCACUUUGCGUUCCAGCCAAACACCUAAGUGCUCCUUUCUAUGACCAAAGGUGAUAUACUUCAUCCCUCUCACAGAGCCCUUUGCUAUGACUCUGAAG